UCAGAGAAGAAGAUUAAUGGUCCUAGAAUG
RNAcentral lists this non-coding RNA (30 nucleotides) under Mus musculus (house mouse). The record is from RNAcentral. Lineage: Eukaryota; Metazoa; Chordata; Mammalia; Rodentia; Muridae.